CGGUUACAAUUGGCGCAAAAUCAUCAUUAACGUGGCUAUUAUGCGAUUAGAGACCGCCCGUGUGAGUUGACUACGGGUCAGUCGUCCCCCA
Non-coding RNA from Caenorhabditis elegans, 91 nucleotides. The record is from Ensembl. Lineage: Eukaryota; Metazoa; Nematoda; Chromadorea; Rhabditida; Rhabditidae.